AUUCCAGCUCCAAUAGCGUAUAUUAAAGUUGUUGCAGUUAAAAAGCUCGUAGUUGGAUUUGUGGAGGGUUGUGGGAUUUGUCCUCAGGGAUGUAAUCCUUUCGGCUUGUUCAUCUUUGGCUGGAAUCUGCGUGGCAUUGAGUUGUCGUGCAGGGGAUUGCCAUCGUUUACUGUGAAAAAAUUAGAGUGUUCAAAGCAGGCUUAUGCCGUUGAAUAUAUUAGCAUGGAAUAAUGAGAUAGGACCUUGGUACUAUUUUGUUGGUUUGCGCACCGAGGUAAUGAUUAAUAGGGACAGUUGGGGAUAUUUGUAUUUCAUUGUCAGAGGUGAAAUUCUUGGAUUUCUGAAAGACAAACUACUGCGAAAGCAUUUAUCAAGGAUGUUUUC
This 384-nucleotide ribosomal RNA is filed under the name Ulnaria ulna. RNAcentral's name for it is "SSU rRNA". It matches the Rfam family "Eukaryotic small subunit ribosomal RNA", at positions 582 to 971 of the family's 1831-position model. Lineage: Eukaryota; Bacillariophyta; Fragilariophyceae; Fragilariales; Fragilariaceae. The record is from RNAcentral.